GGAUCAUUAUUGAAAAUAGGGCUUUCCCAUUCUUUGGGGCCCGAACCUUCACAUAAUUUCCACACACUUGUGAAUCGUUGGAGCGUUUUUUGAAAAAGAGACGCUCUGGCACCCUUUAAUUAUUACAAACACCGAGUUAAUGGAUGUAGUUGUAAACUUGUCUUUUGACAGAAACAAAAAUACAACUUUCGACAACGGAUCUCUUGGUUCUCCCAUCGAUGAAGAACGCAGCGAAACGCGAUAGUUAAUGUGAAUUGCAGAAUUCAGUGAAUCAUCGAGUCUUUGAACGCAUCUUGCGCUCCUUGGUAUUCCGAGGAGCAUGCCUGUUUGAGUGUCAUGAAUCCCUCAGCCCCCAUCGUUUUUUGUUAAGCGAUUGGCUUGGGUCUGGAUUUGGGCGUCUUGCCAAUGCGCUUUUUCAAGUGCUUGGCUCGCCUUAAAGAGAUUAGCUGGACCCCAUUCCGAGCUGGUUCAACUCGACGUGAUAAUUUCAUUCGUCGAGGUAUGGUUGGCUCUUGCGAGCUGAUCAGCCAGGUGUAGGAAUCCGGUCUGCUUCCAACUUUCGUCUGAAGCCAGCAAUGGUGUGAAGCGGAUUUUUUUAAUGCUCUGGCCUCAAAUCAGGUAGGAUUACCCGCUGAACUUAAGCAUAUCAAUAAGCGGAGGA
This 661-nucleotide small RNA is filed under the name uncultured Tilletiopsis. RNAcentral's name for it is "eukaryotic LSU rRNA". The stretch from base 184 to 337 matches the Rfam family "5.8S ribosomal RNA". The record is from RNAcentral. Lineage: Eukaryota; Fungi; Basidiomycota; Exobasidiomycetes.